This 72-nucleotide transfer RNA is filed under the name Cordylochernes scorpioides. Its description in RNAcentral is "tRNA-Trp". It matches the Rfam family "tRNA". From Rfam's summary of the family: Transfer RNA (tRNA) molecules are approximately 80 nucleotides in length. Their secondary structure includes four short double-helical elements and three loops (D, anti-codon, and T loops). The record is from RNAcentral. Lineage: Eukaryota; Metazoa; Arthropoda; Arachnida; Pseudoscorpiones; Chernetidae.
GGGCUUGUUGCGCAAUGGUAGCGCGUAUGACUCCAGAUCAAAAGGUUGCAUGUUCGAAUCAUGUCUGGCUCA